AACAGGAUUAGAUACCCUGGUAGUCCACGCCGUAAACGGUGGACGCUGGAUGUGGGGCCCAUUCCACGGGUUCCGUGUCGGAGCUAACGCGUUAAGCGUCCCGCCUGGGGAGUACGGCCGCAAGGCUAAAACUCAAAGAAAUUGACGGGGGCCCGCACAAGCGGCGGAGCAUGCGGAUUAAUUCGAUGCAACGCGAAGAACCUUACCUGGGCUUGACAUGUGCCUGUCGACUGCAGAGAUGUGGUUUCCCUUCGGGGCAGGUUCACAGGUGGUGCACGGUCGUCGUCAGCUCGUGUCGUGAGAUGUUGGGUUAAGUCCCGCAACGAGCGCAACCCUCGCCCUGUGUUGCCAGCGGGUUAUGCCGGGAACUCACGGGGGACCGCCGGGGUUAACUCGGAGGAAGGUGGGGAUGACGUCAGAUCAUCAUGCCCCUUACGUCCAGGGCUUCACGCAUGCUACAAUGGCCGGUACAACGGGAUGCGACAUGGUGACAUGGAGCGGAUCCCUUAAAACCGGUCUCAGUUCGGAUCGUAGUCUGCAACUCGACUACGUGAAGGCGGAGUCGCUAGUAAUCGCGAAUCAGCAACGUCGCGGUGAAUGCGUUCCCGGGCCUUGUACACACCGCCCGUCAAGUCAUGAAAGUGGGCAGCACCCGAAGCCGGUGGCCUAACCCUUUUGGGAUGGAGCCGUCUAAGGUGAGGCUCGUGAUUGGGACUAAGUCGUAACAAGGUAACC
This 735-nucleotide ribosomal RNA is filed under the name uncultured bacterium. RNAcentral's name for it is "bacterial SSU rRNA". It matches the Rfam family "Bacterial small subunit ribosomal RNA", at positions 771 to 1501 of the family's 1533-position model. The record is from RNAcentral.